This 497-nucleotide ribosomal RNA is filed under the name uncultured bacterium. Its description in RNAcentral is "partial 16S ribosomal RNA". It matches the Rfam family "Bacterial small subunit ribosomal RNA", at positions 28 to 507 of the family's 1533-position model. The record is from RNAcentral.
GAUGAACGCUGGCGGCGUGCCUAAUACAUGCAAGUCGAGCGAACAGACGAUGAUCUUGCUCCUCUGACGUUAGCGGCGGACGGGUGAGUAACACGUGGAUAACCUCCCUAUAAGACUGGGAUCACUUCGGGAAACCGGAGCUAAUACCGGAUAAUAUAUUGAACCGCAUGGUUCAAUAGUGAAAUACGGUUUUGCUGUCACUUAUCGAUGGAUCCGCGCCGCAUUAGCUAGUUGUUAAGGUAACGGCUUACCAAGGCAACGAUGCGUAGCCGACCUGAGAGGGUGAUCGGCGACACUGGAACUGAGACACGGCCCAGACUCCUACGGGAGGCAGCAGUAGGGAAUCUUCCGCAAUGGGCGAAAGCCUGACGGAGCAACGCCGCGUGAGUGAUGAAGGUCUUCGGAUCGUAAAACUCUGUUAUUAGGGAAGAACAAAUGUGUAAGUAACUAUGCACGUCUUGACGGUACCUAAUAAGAAAGCAACGGCUAACUACGUG